This 625-nucleotide unclassified non-coding RNA is filed under the name Tecticornia peltata. RNAcentral describes it as "partial external transcribed spacer". The record is from RNAcentral. Lineage: Eukaryota; Viridiplantae; Streptophyta; Magnoliopsida; Caryophyllales; Amaranthaceae.
GUUUCACAGUCUGAAUUAGUUCAUACUUACACAUGCAUGGCUUAAUCUUUGAGACAAGCAUAUGACUACUGGCAGGAUCAACCAGGUAGCACUCCUCGGUCGACAUCGGCACGCAUGAGCCCUCUCGAUCAAGAAAGGGUCACCUCGCACUCGAAUGUCAUCCAUCGUUAGCGUACAACGCUUUGGGUGUGCGACGAUUUAACGUCAACACCCACACAACGUUCUGCAUCCAAGGGCCCAACUUGAGAUCGUAAUCCUGCCCUGUCGUGCUUGUUUUCGCUUGACGGGUGGAUAACGAACCAAGUUUCAUUGUCCGCUCGACCUCCUUUUACAGAUGUAGAGCGGAAAUCACUCCUUUAAGGGGAUGACAUCGAUACCGUCAGUAGGAAUUCAACACAGGGACCACACGUCGCCCAAGGCACAUGAUGCACUUGCAGCAAACAAUGAAGAGGUAUGCUGGUGAACGGUUCAGUGCACAAGCAAAGAGCCCGCCAACCACACAAACCAAAUACCACUCACACGCCAUCACGUAUUGCAUCACUAGGAUCAUGCCUACAUGCGCUCCCACAACUACACAUUAAUUGCAAGAGAGCAAGCAAGGACAACCCCGUGGGCACCGCUGGGC